CGAAAUGCGAUAAGUAAUGUGAAUUGCAGAAUUCAGUGAAUCAUCGAAUCCUUGAACGCACAUUGCGCCCGCCAGUAUUCUGGCGGGCAUGCCUGUCCGAGCGUCAUUUCAACCAUCAAGCCCCCGGGCUUGUGUUGGGGACCUGCGGCUGCCCGCAGGCCCUGAAAACCAGUGGCGGGCUCGCUGUCACACCGAGCGUAGUAGCAAUCACCUCGCUCAGGGCGUGCUGCGGGUUCCGGCCGUUAAACAGCCUUACAAAACCCAAGGUUGACCUCGGAUCAGGUAGGAAGACCCGCUGAACUUAAGC
Molecule: unclassified non-coding RNA, 307 nt
Filed under: plant metagenome
Description: partial contains 5.8S ribosomal RNA, internal transcribed spacer 2, and large subunit ribosomal RNA
Rfam family: 5.8S ribosomal RNA (bases 1-106)
Source: RNAcentral